AAAGCUUUAAGUUAAUAAAACUAUUAACCUUCAAAGUUAAAUUUAUAUAAUAAAAUGUAUAAGCUUUA
RNAcentral lists this transfer RNA (68 nucleotides) under Gonopsimorpha nigrosignata. RNAcentral describes it as "tRNA-Trp". Lineage: Eukaryota; Metazoa; Arthropoda; Insecta; Hemiptera; Pentatomidae. The record is from RNAcentral.